Molecule: long non-coding RNA, 1183 nt
Organism: Bombus terrestris (buff-tailed bumblebee)
Lineage: Eukaryota; Metazoa; Arthropoda; Insecta; Hymenoptera; Apidae
Exons: 3
Source: RefSeq, a predicted model, not a curated record
UACUCUUGCAAGUUGCUAGAAUAUCUUCCAAUAAUUUUCAUAUCGAUACAUGUGAAUCUUUUUAAACGAAGCGGAAUCUAAGCAAAAAUAUGAAGAAAGUGGAAAAUCGCUUAAAGUCACUGGUCGAAAACCAUCCACUAUGCAGAUGGACAGAUAAAUUUCGCGUCACUUGAUAGUACUAUCGUAUGACUACGAACUAUUGACACUAGUUGAAAGUGAAAUGUAACGGCUGAUGAAAAAAAAUUGAAAAAGAUAGAGAUACGUAAGUAUUAGCAUUAGGUUGGCAUAAAAGUUUCUUUCGUUUUGUGAGGAAAUAAUAAAUGUACAUUUUUUUGUAUCAUAUUAUUGUAUUGAAUUAUGUAUGAUCUUUUUGUAGUAAUAGAAUCCAUUUUAUUUUAUUCGUACAGAAUUCAUUAAUAAUAACAUUAUAUUUCCUUAUAAAACUAAAGAAACUUUUGGGACAAACUAACGCAUAUAAAUACCUUUUCACAGCCACUGUAUAAGAUUAUAAAAGAUACUGAUAUACAGGAUAUUGUUAGCUGUAGCUGCACAGCCACCACGCACUCAGCAUCGCAAAUAUCGAAAGCCCUGAAGAAAAUUUGAAGAAGAAAUGCUGUAAUUUUAUAAAACUGAAUUCUAAUCGACGAGACGAGUAAACGUGUGACAGAUAUCGUAGAAUAGAAAAAAAAGUGUGUAAUAGGCAAAAAAAGAAAUGUUUAAUAUAAAUUUUACUUAGAAUUCAUACACGCAAAGGAAGCUGUCGGAACAGAUUUAAUUCCCGUUCAUUAGAUUCGUCGCCUUACUGAAUACGAUAUUCUCGAGUUCGCGGUUCAAGGGAAAGCAAAGAAUUCUGGUGGGGUCGAGAGCAACGUUCAAGAUGAAAUCCUCGGCCCUUGUUAAAUCGUCUCGGUCGGGGUCGAACAAUGCGUUCGCCAGCAUCCUCGUUUCUCGGUGAUUGCACAUAAAGCUGCCAUUAUUAGAACUUCAGUGAGCGGGAAAUCGAAUAAAUUUGAAGUUGAAGAAAGUAAGAGAAAGUCGAAACGAAGCAAACGCGAUUCCUUAAGCCACGAUGUUCAGGGAUUUUAUAAUCUUUCCGGUGACGUCUUCGACGUGGAAUACCCAGAAGCUGAGAAAUUGAUUCUGUACGAUGAAAAAGACGAUGUCUCCACAGAAUACAACGAUA